Long non-coding RNA from Myotis myotis, 1212 nucleotides. RefSeq lists it as uncharacterized. Lineage: Eukaryota; Metazoa; Chordata; Mammalia; Chiroptera; Vespertilionidae. The transcript is spliced from 2 exons. The record is from RefSeq and is a predicted model, not a curated record.
GUGCCGCGAGCGCCGGGCGCGGGGGGCCGGGAGCGUGGGAGCCCGGGAGCCCGGGAACGGGCCCCAGCACGUAGGCUCCUGCCCAACAGCCCCAGAUCGGGGGCUCUCGCUCCCAUUGCACAGAUGGGGAUGGAGAUGGACACCCUGGACUGGAGGUGCUCAAGGUCACACCGUUCCUGGGAGAGCUGGGGGAUGGCAGGCCGUCUAAGGGCCCAGGCCCCCUGGCCCCUUCCCGAGUGCGUGUGUGUGUGCGUGGCCGGCAUCGUGCCUGGGAUCCGGAGCUUUCACAUCAAAGGGCUGAGCUUCCCUUCACGGCCUGCCUCGGGCUCCUCUGUGAAAUGAAAGGGCUUGCACUAGAACCCCCAGUGAAAUGAAAGGGCUUGCACCAGAAGCCCCAAGGUCCUCCAGCCACCCCUGAUUUCAUUGCUGGAAAGAUGGUGACUGGAUUAAGACACGUUUUCUGGCCGACCUACCAGGAACCAACGGAAGCAAGUAACAUUGGCUUUCAUCAUGAGUUGCAGAUGUAAUUCACACAAGAAUUCUCAAACACAAUGCACAACAUUUUCAAUUUUUCUUUGGCCCUACCCUGCUUUAUCACAGUUUAUACUUGCCUGUGUUUGCAUCUCUCUGGUUCCCUAGAGUUGGUAGAAGAAACAGGAGUUUCAGAGAAGUUGACAUAGUUGUAACAGUAGCAAUAGUAACAAUUUAUUGAGUAUAUUCUAGGUGCCCAGAUACUGGCCACACAGGACUUCAUUUGAUCCUCACAGCGACUUCAGAAGUAAAUUUCAUUUAUGCCCACUUUACAGAUGGGAAAUCUGAAGCUCAUGGCACUUUACUGCACAGUUUAUAUCAUCAAUCUAACUUCAUUUUAGCUAGAUCUUUAGGAGGCUACUUGAAACAACUUAUAGUGUGGUUUCCUAGAGAAACAAAAUUGUACAAGCUUAAAAGCAAUAAUAGUGGAAUAUGGUAAGCAGAGUUGAACUUUUUUAAGGUAAAGAUAAAAAUAUUCUUAAAUAUUGAAAACAUAAAUCAGUUUGUGCAUGUGUGUUCACAUGCCAACUCCACCCCACUCCACUUCUGCCAAAGCUUUUGUCUUGGGUAACUUCCACAGGAUUCUGAGUUUGCUUUCUCACUUAUUAGCAAACACUAACAGCUGCCAAGGGUAGAGAGCUGCCUUUUAUUAAACACUGAAGCUAAACUUUCGGAAUUGUA